CAACAGGGAUUGCCUUAGUAACUGCGAGUGAAGCGGCAAAAGCUCAAAUUUGAAAUCUGACGUCUUCGGCGUCCGAGUUGUAAUUUGGAGGGAUAACUUCGGGGUUGGCGCCGUCCUAAGUUCCUUGGAACAGGACGUCACAGAGGGUGAGAAUCCCGUGCCUGGAUGGCUGUCCAACUCCAUGUGAAGUGUCUCCGACGAGUCGAGUUGUUUGGGAAUGCAGCUCAAAAUGGGUGGUAAAUUUCAUCUAAAGCUAAAUAUUGGCGAGAGACCGAUAGCGCACAAGUAGAGUGAUCGAAAGAUGAAAAGCACUUUGAAAAGAGAGUUAAAAAGUACGUG
RNAcentral lists this ribosomal RNA (339 nucleotides) under Tricharina praecox. RNAcentral's name for it is "eukaryotic LSU rRNA". It matches the Rfam family "Eukaryotic large subunit ribosomal RNA", at positions 66 to 401 of the family's 3401-position model. Lineage: Eukaryota; Fungi; Ascomycota; Pezizomycetes; Pezizales; Pyronemataceae. The record is from RNAcentral.